UUCGUUUCUCCCUCCCGUAGCUCUCUCCUUCUCAGCUCUCCCGUCUCUCUCUCUCCCUCAACCUCUCGCAUCUCUCUCUUCCCCUGGACUCACUAGGACCGAGUCACCAUCGAAGAGAGGCUCGCAACGAACCCCGGACCCUGCCCUGCGAGUUCGACGGCACGGAGUAAGCUCCGGCGAGCACCGCCCCUUUCGAGGCCAUUUCCGGCCAAACCACAGCGAGUUGGCCGGCGUGUAAGUUUCCGGCGAGUCCGACGGCUUUCGAGGCAUUUUCCGGCCAAAAAACGGCGAGUUAGACGUCGUGUGAGGUACCAUUCUCUUCGUCUCUUCAAGGGCUACAACUUUCAUUUUCGUCUUACUUGAUUUCGUUGAGUAUUGACAAAGUUAUGGCCAUUUAAAGUUGGGUGGUUUUCCGGCCGAAAUUCCGGCCUUCUCCUUCGACAAACCCAGGCCAUCCGGCCUUUCCCUCUCCCUCGGGCCUUAGGCCCGUGUUGCCUUAGCCCAGUACCCUAACCCAUUCAGUUUUUAUUUUUAGUUAUA
Malus domestica (apple) is the source of this 540-nucleotide long non-coding RNA. RefSeq lists it as uncharacterized. The record is from RefSeq and is a predicted model, not a curated record. Lineage: Eukaryota; Viridiplantae; Streptophyta; Magnoliopsida; Rosales; Rosaceae.